RNAcentral lists this ribosomal RNA (350 nucleotides) under Pagrus major (red seabream). Its description in RNAcentral is "partial 16S ribosomal RNA". It matches the Rfam family "Bacterial large subunit ribosomal RNA", at positions 2088 to 2588 of the family's 2925-position model. The record is from RNAcentral. Lineage: Eukaryota; Metazoa; Chordata; Actinopteri; Spariformes; Sparidae.
ACCCUAUGGAGCUUUAGACGUCAGAUCAGGCCAUGUAAAGCACCCCUUAACAAAGGAAAAAACCAAAUGAAGCCUGCCCUAAUGUCUUUGGUUGGGGCGACCGCGGGGAAAUACAAAACCCCCAUGUGGAGUAGGAAUACACAUUCCUAAACCCAAGAGCUCCCGCUCUAAUGAACAGAAAUUCUGACCAAUAAGAUCCGGCACACGCCGAUCAACGGACCGAGUUACCCUAGGGAUAACAGCGCAAUCCCCUUAAAGAGCCCUUAUCGACAAGGGGGUUUACGACCUCGAUGUUGGAUCAGGACAUCCUAAUGGUGCAGCCGCUAUUAAGGGUUCGUUUGUUCAACGAU